UGACAACAGUCUGUGACAACUACAGUAUUAUUUAUGUACUUUCUUUCAGCCUUUGGAAAUUAUGAUAGUUUUCAUUUUUCUUCAUAAAAAUAUUUACUUUCAUAUCAGUAAUAAAUAAUGUUAUUGGAAAUAGUAAUACAAGUUUUAAACAUUAAAUGAGUAAGUUAAUUUUGAAGUUAUUGCUUAGAAAUUAAACGCGAUUCUUCGCCCUAAGUGGUAUCCAUAAGUAAAAGGCAAUAUGUGAAUUGAAAUUAACAGUAUCCGUUUGCUCCCAUUUCAUAGCGUUUAUCAAAUAGCAUGUUUUUUUGCAAAAAGUACCGUGAAAUUUCCAUUAGAUCCGUUAAAGAUUUUACAACACGAACGGACGUUUCUCGACUAUUACGAAAGUUCCGUCAGUUUAUGUGCAGUUAGUAGUGUGGAACAAUUUAAAAAAGUAUUUCAGGAAGUAACAAUAAAACUUUCUAUUGUAACCUUCCCUAUUUUUUGUUUUCACUUUUUAGCGAAGAAAUGGCGUCUAGCACUGAUGGCAGUGGCAGUAGUGGUGCACUAUCUCGAAAUUAUUCGAUAAAUUCAAGUUCUUCUCGUGAUUAUGAAAACCUAAAGCAACAAUACGAUAAAGCAAAUAAUGAAUUGGCAAACUUAAGAAGGAGAUGCGAUCAUGCAAUGAAAGAACUGGACUACUAUAGAAGCCAACACAGAGCAGCCAUGAACCAACUAGAAGUAUCCUCUCAAGACUCUGCAACUUUACGCACAAAGUAUGGAGAUGUGCUGAGUGAAAAUCAAAGAUUGGAACAAGAUGUUCAGUCAUUGAGGACUGAAUUGUCAGAAUUACACAGACAGCAAGAGGUGUUGGUGUCAGAAAAUGGUAAUACAGAAUCCCUGUAUAUGCUCUCCAGAAGAAACGACAGUGUUGUGAGAGAUGAUUGUGAUACUCUUAGGAAAAGGUAUGAUGAGCUUCUGGCAUCACACAGUCAAGCAAUUACAAAAUUAGAAUUGGCACAAGAUGAAACUAAUAGACUUAAUAAGCAGUGUGAUGAACUUAAUCAAGAAAGAAACAAUGUUAUGAGAGACAUUGUUAAUUUACGCCAGCAGAUAGCAGUGGCUCAUCAAAAAUAUGACAAAGCUGCAAGAGAUUGUAUCAAAUUUAGAGAAGCAUUCCAGAAAGUUCAGCAGCAGUAUGAAGAAGCUGUUAAAGAGGUCAAUCAAGCUAUGGCGUUCCGUAUGAAAGCUAGUAAAGAAGUCAAAAGACUCACAGAUGAACGAAAUGCAGCUAUGACUGAAUAUAAUCUCAUAAUGAGUGAAAGAGAUACAGUCCAUAAAGAGAUGGAGAAAUUAAGUGACGAUCUGACACAGGCCUGUAAAAAAAAUAAACUAUUAGAGGCAGAUAACAAAGAACUUAUGGAAGAGAAAAAACAGUUAAACUAUCAAAUGGAAACUUUGAGACGAGAAAUUGCCAGUGCUUUGCAUGACCGUGAUAAGGCUCUAAAAGAAUGUAACGAUUUAAGGGAGAAAUUUGGAGAAUAUAGUGCUUCCAAGGAGGAUAGCCGGGACAUGAUGAAGAGUAGGUUAGAUAAUCUUAGCUUCCUAGGUGAUAAUGCAGCUAGAAAAGAAGUCCAAGUCGAUUCUCGUAGCCUAAGUCAGAGACAAAGGUUAGACAACUUAGAUCAGGCAAAUCAGGAACUUGAGAGUUUAAGAAAAAGUUUGGACAAGGCUCAGACAGAACUGUCUGAGGCCAUUCAGGAAGCUGAGGUAUCAAAAGGUCGACGUGAUUGGGCAUUUUCUGAAAGAGACAAGAUAGUUUUAGAACGAGAAAGUAUUCGCACAUUGUGUGAUAACAUGCGUAAGGAAAGAGACAGAGCUGUAUCUGAACUUGCAGAAGCUCUUAGGGAGUCUGAUGCUAUUAAAAAACAAAGAAAUGAACUGAUGAAAGAAGUUAAAAUGUUGAAAGAAGCCCUGGAAAUACACAUGGAGAAAGAGGCACAGUUUAAUCAAUUUCGUGGUAUGGGACAUAAUCAUUCCCAUGACAGCGCUAUUGACAGUGAUAUGCAGGAAUGGGAAACAGAGAUAUUGGAAAUGGACUUGUCUGGACUUCCCAGUGAUGGUGACCUAGGAUUCGAGUUGGUUGGCGGUCGAGAUGACCCUCAUUAUCCCAAUGACAGUGGUAUUUAUGUGGCCUCAGUCUCAAAAGGUUCCAUGGCCGAUGGAAAGUUGAGAGUAAACGAUUGCAUUUCUCGAGUGAACAAUCUUGAUUGCACCUCGGUAUCGAAAAGGAUGGUGAUUGAAACGUUGCGCUCAAGUUUACCCGUGGCGCAUUUGGUUGUACGCAGGCGCCGAUCUCAAACAUGGUCGUCUUCACAAAAUUCCCGAGGAUCUCAGAACGUUGUCCGUAUACCCCCUAGUUUUCAGAAUAACUCGCGAGUUGCUCGUUGGAUCUAUACUGCAAGACUAGCCGCUGGUUGUCACGGUCUAUCCCUAGAAUCGGGGGUGUACAUUGGGAAGAUAAGCGAGGGCAGUUUGGCAGCCAAAGAUAAUAGUCUUGUUGUUGGUGAUAGGGUUUUGAGCAUAAAUAACAAAUCUAUGGACGGUUUCGAGAGCAUCCACGAGGCUAUGUCAAUUUUGAACGAUGACCGCACAGAUAUAAUUACGAUUACGACUCUGAAGACGAGUUAUUUGGACCCUGAAUGUACCACAAACGUGUUUAUGCCUGCUCAACGCUACAAAAAAGAAAACAGGAGCUCUCAAACAGACGACCAUGAUUUGGUUCGCCACGAUUACGAUCGACAAUAUUUGAGUGGUGAUUAUCGACUGAAUAACAAAAGUAAUGUCCAGGAGAAGAACAGUGGGGCGUGGUUCAGAGAAAAAUUGGACAUGGUUCGUGGAAGAAGACAUUCAAAGGAUAGAAACAGGAACGAUGACAAAAAGAAGUAUCGAAAUAGUUCACCGAAUACACUCGAUUUAAGUAGCAACACUUUUGAGCAAGAACAGGCAAUAGCUGAGUUAGAUUUGGUAAUAGAUAGUUAUCAUGGCGAGAAUACAAAUACCAUGAAACGAAAUAAAAGAAGAGGUAAGGAGAUGUCGGUGCAAGAGAAAAAUGGCGGUACAUGGCCUAAAGCGCGGGCUACUAACGUACUUCAAAACACCACUGGCACUAUAGUGGCUCGUAAAAAAGAACGGCCACCCCUGAGUCUCCUACUAACUGACCGAUCAGAACAGCAGAAUAAUUACUGUUGUAAAAACGAAAGGACUUCAAAUCGUAAUUCAACUCCUAUACCGCUUAGCCUAGCCCAGAACUUAAACAGACAUAGCGUUUUUAAAAGUGUAGAUAAUAGUAUGGUACCCUUCCCGAAGGCUACGUUUAGCACUGUUAAUGACUCAUUUGAGAAGCUCAGGUCAAAUAAAAUGUCCGAUUUCGACGCGUCACGUGAAGUCAAUAAUAGACUGAGUAUUAAUUCGGACAACAGUCUCGAUUUUCCCGUUAAUAAACCGAUGUUGAUCAGCGAAAAGGACUUUCUCAACUAUUACAAAAAGAAUAAAACAGGUCCAAUAAAAUACACUGCAGAUUCUGAUCGUGAUAACUCAAUAACUCACGACAUAUCAGUUACCGGUGUCCCGAAUCCUCAUACUCGAAUUCAUUCGCAAUUGUUUGUUCCAAAUCCUCGCAUCGCAUUCCCCUUUCAUCCCCACCCACAUCCACAUCUCAACUCAUCGCCUCUGACUCUCCCCACAUGUCACUCACGUGAAAGUGUUGGUUUCGAACCCCCUUAUCCUUCAUUCACCCACACCCACAGCCCUUCUGUAGACCAUUAUCAAAAAAAGCAAAUGCUAAAUGUCAAUGGUUUACCUAGCCACGCCCAUGUUCCUUAUAGGGAUUCAGAUAUGAUCAACUACGGUCAAGGAUUUGAAGGGGGUACAUUUCCACGUAAAAAAGAAAAUCAACGUUUUCGAAUACCGUCCAAUCCUAGUGUCACGUCUAAAAAUUCAGCUGGAAAAGUGAGCACGGGGAGUAUUGAACGGACUAGCGAGAGGGGAAGUCCUAUGCCGAUUUUUCAAGUAGAAGUUUUAAGUCCGGGAAAUAGAGAUAAGCGAAAUAGUGUUCCUGAUUAUUGUUGGCCUCAGAAACCUCUGCCAGGGGAACUUAGAAGAGUACAUAUUGACAAAUCUAAUGAACCCUUGGGGAUACAGAUAAAUUGCCCAGAAAGUGGUGGGAUUUUCGUAUCAACAGUGAACGACAACAGUUUAGCUAGUAGAGUAGGAUUGCAGAUUGGCGAUCAAUUACUGGAAGUCUGUGGGAUCAACAUGAGAAACGCCACGUAUAAUUUGGCUGCAAACGUUCUGAGACAGUGUGGAAAUUCUAUUACCAUGUUGGUUCAAUAUAGUCCCGACAAAUAUAACGAACUGCAAGAUUCUGGUUCUUGUUCGGGCUCGUCUUCUAACGAUGAAGGUGACGGUGAACCUACACCUUGUAAUUCCCCUAAAGGGGUGAGAAAGUCCCAUUCCAAUGCCAUGAGCUUACCGUUAACAUCAUUGGGAAAUCAGACAAUCAUCAAUCGCACAUCACAGGCCACAUCUACAAUCCAAAGACAAAGCAGUAAUAAUAGGAAUGAAGAAGAACCUCGUUACCUGUACAUCGAAACGUUGAAGACUUCAAACUUAGGUAUAUCAUUAGUUGGUGGCAAUGCUGUUGGUAUAUUUAUCCACUCGGUUCAGCCUGACUCUCUUGCUUAUCAUGCGGGGCUUAGAACCGGAGAUCAAAUCUUAGAAUAUAACGGAAGUGACUUAAGACAUGCCACUGCUGAGGAGGCCGCUUAUGAACUUGCCAAGACUGCAGAUAAAGUUACUGUCUUAGCUCACUAUAGAGUAGAUCGUUACAACGAAAUUAAAGAUAAGCCUGGCGACAGUCUCUACAUCCGUUGUCUUUUUGAUAGAAGUGGCAGCGAGUUAUCUGAUAAUUUGCAGCUCUGUUUCAAUAAGGAUGACAUUCUUUAUGUGGACAAUACAAUGUUCAAUGGGGUCCCAGGUCAUUGGAGGGCAUGGAAACUCGAUUCUGAAGGACAGAAGCAACAAUGUGGUAUCAUCCCAAAUAAAUACAAGGUCGAAGAAGAGUUGCUGCUCAAAAGAAGUACUGGUGAUCUUGAGGGUAGGGGUUCUACAUCAGCAAGAAGAAGCUUCUUUCGUCGCAAAAAGCAUCAAAGGAGUGGUUCAAGAGAUUCCAAAGAACUGGCCAGUUUUUGUAAUGUGUCUUCUGGGUGGUACUCAGACAAUGGAACUUUACAUGAAGAUCUUUCUCUGUGUUCUUAUCAAAGAGUAGAAAGACUUGAUUAUCCAGAAUUUCGUCCAGUUUUAGUUUUAGGCCCUUUAGCUGAGUGCAUUGUUGAUAAAUUGGUGAACGAUUUUCCCGACAAGUUUCAGAAAGUGCAGCACGAAGCCAGACACUGUUCCCAAGCCACUCUAGACCAGGAACUUGCAGACAGUCUUAUCGUUGAUUACAGGCGAAAGGGCAAUUACUACGAAUGUACUACAGCUGCCUCAAUACGAUCAGUUUGUAGUUCAAGGUUACAUUGCAUGUUGGACAUUUCGGUUUCUUCAGUUGAAAAGCUUCACAGGCACCAGAUUUAUCCUAUUGUGCUCCUUAUCAAGUUCAAAAGUACCAAGCAAAUAAAAGAAGUAAAGGAUACGCGGUUCCCAUUAGAUAAGUUGUCUGGGAAGGCAGCUAAAGAAAUGUACGAGCAUGGUUUGAAAUUAGAAGCUGAAUAUAGACACCAAAUAACAGCUGUCAUUCCUGCUGGAGUAAAUAUAGCCUACAUUUGUACACAAGUUAAGGCAGCAAUCGAUGCUGAACACAAUAAAAGUCAGUGGAUUCCAGUUCAGUAAUAUUUGAAAAAUACUUCAAUGUUCAACGUAAUUCAUGGUAUUGACUGGGUGCCGUUUUUCGUAUUGAAAGAAUUUGUACUUCUAGAUAGGAGAUUAAAAGAAAUAAGGGAAAGUCUAAUUUGAAGUAUGUAAGUUAUUAAUUAGCUUAUAAGAUCUAAUAUGAAAUGAUUUGUGUUAAAUGUACAUUUAAAAACAAAGUAAGAAGAAAAUGUCUAAUGUGUAUAUUUGAGAGUCAACUAUGUAUAUGAAGACAUUUUGUUAUACUGUUUACCAACUCUGUUAUAUGUAUAGGAUAAUUUUUAUGUUGACUAAUUGAUUAUUAUUAGUUUUUUAUUUUUAAUAAUGUACUCUGUGAUUGUUCGUUAUUUUUAUCUUUUACUAUGGCUUUGAUUUUCUUCGAUGAAAUAAACGAGGUUUAAAUGGAA
RNA transcript from Agrilus planipennis (emerald ash borer), 6296 nucleotides. It is a transcript of the gene named disks large homolog 5, with no coding region annotated. The record is from RefSeq and is a predicted model, not a curated record. The transcript has 20 exons. Lineage: Eukaryota; Metazoa; Arthropoda; Insecta; Coleoptera; Buprestidae.